Molecule: ribosomal RNA, 465 nt
Filed under: uncultured Klebsiella sp.
Lineage: Bacteria; Pseudomonadati; Pseudomonadota; Gammaproteobacteria; Enterobacterales; Enterobacteriaceae
Description: bacterial SSU rRNA
Rfam family: Bacterial small subunit ribosomal RNA
Source: RNAcentral
CCUACGGGUGGCUGCAGUGGGGAAUAUUGCACAAUGGGCGCAAGCCUGAUGCAGCCAAGCCGCGUGUGCGAAGAAGGCCUUCGGGUUGUAAAGCACUUUCAGCGGGGAGGAAGGCGGUGAGGUUAAUAACCUCAUCGAUUGACGUUACCCGCAGAAGAAGCACCGGCUAACUCCGUGCCAGCAGCCGCGGUAAUACGGAGGGUGCAAGCGUUAAUCGGAAUUACUGGGCGUAAAGCGCACGCAGGCGGUCUGUCAAGUCGGAUGUGAAAUCCCCGGGCUCAACCUGGGAACUGCAUUCGAAACUGGCAGGCUAGAGUCUUGUAGAGGGGGGUAGAAUUCCAGGUGUAGCGGUGAAAUGCGUAGAGAUCUGGAGGAAUACCGGUGGCGAAGGCUGCCCCCUGGACAAAGACUGACGCUCAGGUGCGAAAGCGUGGGGAGCAAACAGGAUUAGAUACCCGUGUAGUC